CAGCCGCCGCGGGAAUACGUAGGUGGCAAGCGUCGUCCGGAAUUAUUGGGCGUAAAGGGCUCGCAGGCGGUUUCUUAAGUCUGAUGUGAGAGCCCCCGGCUCAACCGGGGAGGGUCAUUGGAAACUGGGAAACUUGAGUGCAGAAGAGGAGAGUGGAAUUCCACGUGUAGCGGUGAAAUGCGUAGAGAUGUGGAGGAACACCAGUGGCGAAGGCGACUCUCUGGUCUGUAACUGACGCUGAGGAGCGAAAGCGUGGGGAGCGAACAGGAUUAGAUACCCGUGUAGUCCCUGUCUCUUAUAC
Molecule: ribosomal RNA, 301 nt
Filed under: uncultured bacterium
Lineage: Bacteria
Description: partial 16S ribosomal RNA
Rfam family: Bacterial small subunit ribosomal RNA
Source: RNAcentral